Molecule: ribosomal RNA, 1371 nt
Filed under: uncultured bacterium
Lineage: Bacteria
Description: bacterial SSU rRNA
Rfam family: Bacterial small subunit ribosomal RNA
Source: RNAcentral
GAUGAACGCUGGCGGCGUGCCUAAUACAUGCAAGUCGAGCGAACGGACGAGAAGCUUGCUUCUCUGAUGUUAGCGGCGGACGGGUGAGUAACACGUGGAUAACCUACCUAUAAGACUGGGAUAACUUCGGGAAACCGGAGCUAAUACCGGAUGAUAUUUUGAACCGCAUGGUUCAAAAGUGAAAGACGGUCUUGCUGUCACUUAUAGAUGGAUCCGCGCUGCAUUAGCUAGUUGGUAAGGUAACGGCUUACCAAGGCAACGAUGCAUAGCCGACCUGAGAGGGUGAUCGGCCACACUGGAACUGAGACACGGUCCAGACUCCUACGGGAGGCAGCAGUAGGGAAUCUUCCGCAAUGGGCGAAAGCCUGACGGAGCAACGCCGCGUGAGUGAUGAAGGUCUUCGGAUCGUAAAACUCUGUUAUUAGGGAAGAACAUAUGUGUAAGUAACUGUGCACAUCUUGACGGUACCUAAUCAGAAAGCCACGGCUAACUACGUGCCAGCAGCCGCGGUAAUACGUAGGUGGCAAGCGUUAUCCGGAAUUAUUGGGCGUAAGCGCGCGUAGGCGGUUUUUUAAGUCUGAUGUGAAAGCCCACGGCUCAACCGGGGGAGGGUCAUUGGAAACUGGAAAACUUGAGUGCAGAAGAGGAAAGUGGAAUUCCAUGUGUAGCGGUGAAAUGCGCAGAGAUAUGGAGGAACACCAGUGGCGAAGGCGACUUUCUGGUCUGUAACUGACGCUGAUGUGCGAAAGCGUGGGGAUCAAACAGGAUUAGAUACCCUGGUAGUCCACGCCGUAAACGAUGAGUGCUAAGUGUUAGGGGGUUUCCGCCCCUUAGUGCUGCAGCUAACGCAUUAAGCACUCCGCCUGGGAGUACGACCGCAAGGUUGAAACUCAAAGGAAUUGACGGGGACCCGCACAAGCGGUGGAGCAUGUGGUUUAAUUUGAAGCAACGCGAAGAACCUUACCAAAUCUUGACAUCCUUUGACAACUCUAGAGAUAGAGCCUUCCCCUUCGGGGGACAAAGUGACAGGUGGUGCAUGGUUGUCGUCAGCUCGUGUCGUGAGAUGUUGGGUUAAGUCCCGCAACGAGCGCAACCCUUAAGCUUAGUUGCCAUCAUUAAGUUGGGCACUCUAAGUUGACUGCCGGUGACAAACCGGAGGAAGGUGGGGAUGACGUCAAAUCAUCAUGCCCCUUAUGAUUUGGGCUACACACGUGCUACAAUGGACAAUACAAAGGGCAGCGAAACCGCGAGGUCAAGCAAAUCCCAUAAAGUUGUUCUCAGUUCGGAUUGUAGUCUGCAACUCGACUACAUGAAGCUGGAAUCGCUAGUAAUCGUAGAUCAGCAUGCUACGGUGAAUACGUUCCCGGGUCU